CCGGACCGGCGCACGGGUGAGUAACACGUAUGCAACCUGGCCGUCACAGGUGGAUAACCGGAAGAAAUUCCGACUAAUACAGCAUAACACUCCUGAGGGACAUCCCUUGGGAGUCAAAGGAGGCAACUCCGGUGACGGAUGGGCAUGCGGCGCAUUAGGUAGUUGGUAGGGUAACGGCCUACCAAGCCGACGAUGCGUAGGGGUUCUGAGAGGAAGGUCCCCCACAUUGGAACUGAGACACGGUCCAAACUCCUACGGAAGGCAGCAG
This 268-nucleotide ribosomal RNA is filed under the name uncultured bacterium. RNAcentral describes it as "partial 16S ribosomal RNA". It matches the Rfam family "Bacterial small subunit ribosomal RNA", at positions 90 to 354 of the family's 1533-position model. The record is from RNAcentral.